This 447-nucleotide ribosomal RNA is filed under the name uncultured bacterium. RNAcentral's name for it is "partial 16S ribosomal RNA". It matches the Rfam family "Bacterial small subunit ribosomal RNA", at positions 29 to 523 of the family's 1533-position model. The record is from RNAcentral.
AACGAACGCUGGCGGCAGGCCUAACACAUGCAAGUCGAGCGCCCCGCAAGGGGAGCGGCGGACGGGUGAGUAACACGUGGGAAUUUUCCUCAAGGUACGGAACAACUCAGGGAAACUUGGGCUAAUACCGUAUGACGCAGAGAUGCCAAAGAUUUAUCGCCUUGGGAUAAGCCCGCGUCAGAUUAGGUAGUUGGGGGGGUAAUGGCCUACCAAGCCUGGGAUCUGUAGCUGGUCUGAGAGGACGAUCAGCCACAUUGGGACUGAGACACGGCCCAAAAUCCUACGGGAGGCAGCAGUGGGGAAUCUUGCGCAAUGGACGAAAGUCUGACGCAGCCAUGCCGCGUGAAUGAUGAAGGUCUUAGGAUUGUAAAGUUCUUUAGCCUGUGACGAUGAUGACGGUAACAGGAGAAUAAGCCCCGGCUAACUUCGUGCCAGCAGCCGCGGUAA